GAUCCUGGCUCAGAAUCAACGCUGGCGGCGCGCUUAACACAUGCAAGUCGAGCGAGAAAGGGGGCAACCCUGAGUAAAGCGGCGUACGGGUGAGUAACACGUGGAUUAUCUACCUUUUAGUGGGGAAUAACUUUGGGAAACCGAAGCUAAUACCGCAUAAGCCUGUAAAGGGAAAGCAGCAAUGCGCUGGAAGAAGAGUCCGCGGCCGAUUAGCUAGUUGGUGAGGUAACGGCCCACCAAGGCGACGAUCGGUAGCCGGCCUGAGAGGGCACACGGCCACACUGGCACUGAAACACGGGCCAGACUCCUACGGGAGGCAGCAGUGGGGAAUCUUGCACAAUGGACGAAAGUCUGAUGCAGCGACGCCGCGUGAGCGAUGAAGCCCUUCGGGGUGUAAAGCUCUUUCGGCAGGAACGAUAAUGACGGUACCUGAAGAAGAAGCUGCGGCUAACUACGUGCCAGCAGCCGCGGUAAUACGUAGGCAGCAAGCGUUGUUCGGAAUUACUGGGCGUAAAGAGUGUGUAGGCGGUGCUCUAAGUUUGGUGUGAAAUCUCCCGGCUUAACUGGGAGGGUGCGCCGAAAACUGGAAUGCUUGAACAUGGGAGAGGAAAGCGGAAUUCCUGGUGUAGCGGUGAAAUGCGUAGAUAUCAGGAGGAACACCUGCGGUGUAGACGGCUUUCUGGACCAUUG
This 690-nucleotide ribosomal RNA is filed under the name uncultured Acidobacteriota bacterium. Its description in RNAcentral is "bacterial SSU rRNA". It matches the Rfam family "Bacterial small subunit ribosomal RNA", at positions 15 to 739 of the family's 1533-position model. The record is from RNAcentral. Lineage: Bacteria; Pseudomonadati; Acidobacteriota.